AGUUGCGAUCAUACCAGCACUAAUGCACCGGAUCCCAUCAGAACUCCGCAGUUAAGCGUGCUUGGGCGAGAGUAGUACUAGGAUGGGUGACCCCCUGGGAAGUCCUCGUGUUGCAACCC
RNAcentral lists this ribosomal RNA (119 nucleotides) under Helianthus annuus (common sunflower). Lineage: Eukaryota; Viridiplantae; Streptophyta; Magnoliopsida; Asterales; Asteraceae. The record is from RNAcentral.